GCAAACUGAGGAUGCUCCAUCCAAAUCCUGUGCCUCCUGAUUGCUGAGUGUUCACCUGGACCUUCUGACUACCUUCCCUGUGCUAUUCCAUCAGCCUACAGACCUGGUACCUGGAUUUUUGCCCGAGAUGAUUCCUACCACCUUACUACUGACGAAGACACCCAUUCCAGUGGACCACUGUGACCCAGGAGGCAUUCAGCCAUCAUGAUGUGGCCUUUACCUCCACUCCUGUCUUGUUCUACCCAGAUUCAGCACAGCCCUUUAUAGUGAAGUCAGAGUCCUCAAGCCAAAUAGCUAAAGCUGUUUUAUCACAACAAAGGCCUAGUUUGUUCCAUGAGUGUGCAUUUCAUUUCUUCAGUUAAAGCCUUCAGAGACACACAAUAAAUUUGGACCAGGGGAUUUUUUAGUUAUUAAUG
This 416-nucleotide long non-coding RNA is filed under the name Homo sapiens (human). RNAcentral describes it as "non-protein coding TUG1:29". The stretch from base 28 to 264 matches the Rfam family "Taurine upregulated gene 1 conserved region 3". From Rfam's summary of the family: TUG1 (taurine upregulated gene 1) is a long non-coding RNA expressed in retina and brain. It was first identified in a screen for genes upregulated by in developing retinal cells in response to taurine. The record is from RNAcentral. Lineage: Eukaryota; Metazoa; Chordata; Mammalia; Primates; Hominidae.